Molecule: long non-coding RNA, 1666 nt
Filed under: Homo sapiens (human)
Lineage: Eukaryota; Metazoa; Chordata; Mammalia; Primates; Hominidae
Description: HSALNT0339971
Source: RNAcentral
GAAAGAUGGUGUUUGUACUGCAGAGCUGUGGUCUUAACAUUUACACAAAGUCACAAAGUUUGAUCUCAAAGUCGCUAAACCUCUCUGUGCCUCAGUUUCCCCAUAUACACAAAGGAAUAAUAACCGUCACUAUCAGUAGGGUGUUUUAGCAGCAAAUAACAGAAAAUCCAAAUCAAAUUGACCUCAACAAUAAGAACAUUUACUGACUCCCAGAACCAGAACUGCAGUGGUUGGGUAUGGCUUCCUCUCCUGUCAUCUCUUGCCCCCAUCCUGUUUUGUUCUCAUAACAACUAAAUCCUUAGGCUGAUAGGAAAAUGGAAGCAACAAUCUGCAAACUGACAUGGGCCAAGGUUUCAAGGAUUUUAUUUAAGGUAACAUCCUAACAGGAGAUUUUUGAACCACAAAGGUUCCAGCCCUUAAUGGUGAGAUUUAGUGCCUUACAGUCACUGGUAUAUCCUUGGGAUGCUAGAUAUUAUCGUGGCUAGCAUAAGACCAUAGGGUCAACUUUGCUUCCCUUGACAUUCUGGAAUGUGUCCACACCAGGCACAGGAGCCGGAAUGGCUGUGCCUUCUGUGAGGUCACCAAUAUCAUCAGAGGAUGCUCCUUUUAGGGGAUGCAGGUAGCCAAUGAACAGCCAGAGCUGAAGAGGCACCAUGAAGCUGAAAGGUCACCUUGGGUUCCUUUGAAGGGAAGGAUACAGAGUCCAGCCAGUGCUCAUUCCUGUUGGUGGUCUUCUUCCAGAAGCCUAAAGUAGUGGUUCUCAAACUUGAGCACUGGCUUUGAGAGCUUCUCAAGUUUCCAGAUGAUGCUGAUGCUGCUGGUCCAGGGACCAGAAUUUGAGAAGCACUGACCAAGAGGAUGAAUGAUGGAGUACGCUUUGCAGCAGAGACCAACAGCAGCCACCCGGACUCAGUUGACUUUCUGCUUACUCUGGCUUAUUUAUUCUCCAUAUGCUCCCCAUCAUCACUGAAGUAUCCUGGAUCAUUCAUUUAUGGAGGGAACCACAUUUUUACCUUAUAGGCUAGAGCUCUCUGUGGGAGAGCGGUGGGGUUUUAUAAUUUAUCAACUAUGAGGAGCUCACUAUUUCAUACCCAUGGCUGUUUAGAAUGCUUAAGAGAACACAGAAGCUCCCUGAGGUGCGGCCCUUUUUUAUGCUGGAUCUCCAACACUGGAAGCAAAAGGAAGUCCCAAACAGAAACUAUAUGCAGUGCUGAAUCUACAGUGGCUCUGAGAACUUUUAACUAAUGGGCACUUGUAAAUCUCACAACAUUUCCUACUGGCGUGAAUGCCCUGGGUAAAAUGCUCAUUAAACUGUCAGCCAGCAGAGAGGUGUCGUUGCUGGAAAGAGAGUCACAGCAUCCAGGGGUGGAAAGAGGCCUCCCUGGGCCACCAGGGCCCUCCUCUCCCCCAUUCACCCACCACCAACCCCAGACUCAAACCCUCCUUUCAAAGCCUUUCAGAGGAUGUUACAACUCUCCUUCACCUCCACCAGGAAAUUAUUCUUUUUCUCCAAUCCAAAUAUAUAUAUAUAUAUUCAUGUUUAAUCACUAUUUCUUUUUGUUGGAGAGGAUAUCUUCUAUGAAAAUUGAGAAUGGCUAGCCACUGUCCAUGGUGGACAGUCUUUCAUGUACUUAGAAUCCCUUAUAAAAUUACUCCUGAGUCCUUA